RNAcentral lists this ribosomal RNA (159 nucleotides) under uncultured Chlamydiales bacterium. Its description in RNAcentral is "partial 16S ribosomal RNA". It matches the Rfam family "Bacterial small subunit ribosomal RNA", at positions 353 to 504 of the family's 1533-position model. Lineage: Bacteria; Pseudomonadati; Chlamydiota; Chlamydiia; Chlamydiales. The record is from RNAcentral.
AGUCGAGGAUCUUUCGCAAUGGGCGAAAGCCUGACGAAGCGACGCUGUGUGAGCGAUGAAGGCCUUCGGGUUGUAAAGCUCUUUCGCAUAAGAACAAGAGAGGUUGGUGAAUAACCAGCCGAUUUGAGUGUACUAUGUAAAGAAGCACCGGCUAACUCC